AACGGAAGUUCGUCUGGUCGUCGCAGACGGGCGGGGGUUCCGAGCGGCCCUUGGGGUGAAGCCGUGGCAACGCGGCCGGGCAACUUCGCCAGCCCGAAUCCGACAGGUCAUCCUUCACAGGCGGCUGACGAAGGGUUGC
This 139-nucleotide small RNA is filed under the name Streptomyces roseochromogenus. Its description in RNAcentral is "Streptomyces roseochromogenes c-di-AMP sequence". It matches the Rfam family "c-di-AMP riboswitch aptamer (ydaO/yuaA leader)". From Rfam's summary of the family: This family represents a conserved RNA structure found upstream of the ydaO and yuaA genes in Bacillus subtilis and related genes in other bacteria. The ydaO/yuaA element is thought to act as a genetic "off" switch for the ydaO and yuaA genes in its native state. It is believed that the element may be triggered during osmotic shock leading to activation of ydaO, a predicted amino acid transporter gene, and members of the yuaA-yubG operon which code for KtrA and KtrB K+ transporters. The record is from RNAcentral. Lineage: Bacteria; Bacillati; Actinomycetota; Actinomycetes; Kitasatosporales; Streptomycetaceae.